Rosa rugosa (rugosa rose) is the source of this 518-nucleotide long non-coding RNA. RefSeq lists it as uncharacterized. The record is from RefSeq and is a predicted model, not a curated record. Lineage: Eukaryota; Viridiplantae; Streptophyta; Magnoliopsida; Rosales; Rosaceae. The transcript has 3 exons.
AUAAGAGUGAGGUUUGGAAUCCUAUCAACUUUAUUGGUAGGUUUAGUAGUAAAAUUGCCAUUCAUUAUCUGAAAAUAUUGGUCCCAAUUGAUUAAUAAUUUGUUCAUAUUAUAUAUGUUGGAAAAAAUCAGAAAAUACAUAUUUACGAUAUCUAUCAGGUGAUGAAUAACGGUUUUGAUUUUGUAGAUAACAAUGUACCAAUAUCGAGCAGUACAGUAAGAGCUGAGCUCAGUAACAAACCCAUAUUCAGGAGCCGAGGGAGCUGCAGUAUAUUCAACCAGAAGCUGAACGAGUAGGAAACGCUCUGUCUAUUCCUGAUCAGACCAACCUAUAUAGCAUACUUAUAUUAGCUCAGAAAGAAUUAAGGCAAUUGCGGUCAAGCCCAGAAGUUUUGAAGAAACUUAAUUAGAAUAUCAUUUAGUGAUAGAGGCACUUGCCGUCAAACCCAGAAGUUUUGAAGAAAUUUAAAUAGAAACAAAGUAUCUAAACAAUACAAACUGUACAUCAAAUGUAUGUUU